This 393-nucleotide ribosomal RNA is filed under the name uncultured bacterium. Its description in RNAcentral is "bacterial SSU rRNA". It matches the Rfam family "Bacterial small subunit ribosomal RNA", at positions 28 to 422 of the family's 1533-position model. The record is from RNAcentral.
GACGAACGCUGGCGGCGUGCUUAACACAUGCAAGUCGAGCGGUAAGGCCCUUUCGGGGGUACACGAGCGGCGAACGGGUGAGUAACACGUGGGUGACCUGCCCUCAGCUCUGGGAUAAGCCCGGGAAACUGGGUCUAAUACCGGAUAUGACUCCAUGACGCAUGUUGUGGGGUGGAAAGCCUUGUGCGGCUGAGGAUGGGCCCGCGGCCUAUCAGCUUGUUGGUGGGGUGAUGGCCUACCAAGGCGACGACGGGUAGCCGGCCUGAGAGGGCGACCGGCCACACUGGGACUGAGACACGGCCCAGACUCCUACGGGAGGCAGCAGUGGGGAAUCUUGCGCAAUGGGCGAAAGCCUGACGCAGCGACGCCGCGUGAGGGAUGACGGCCUGGUGU